Molecule: ribosomal RNA, 165 nt
Filed under: Quercus pannosa
Lineage: Eukaryota; Viridiplantae; Streptophyta; Magnoliopsida; Fagales; Fagaceae
Description: 5.8S ribosomal RNA
Rfam family: 5.8S ribosomal RNA
About the family: 5.8S ribosomal RNA (5.8S rRNA) is a component of the large subunit of the eukaryotic ribosome. It is transcribed by RNA polymerase I as part of the 45S precursor that also contains 18S and 28S rRNA.
Source: RNAcentral
CUCUCGGCAACGGAUAUCUAGGCUCUCGCAUUGAUGAAGAACGUAGCGAAAUGCGAUACUUGGUGUGAAUUGCAGAAUCCCGCGAAUCAUCGAGUUUUUGAACGCAAGUUGCGCCCGAAGCCAUUCGGCCGAGGCACGUCUGCCUGGGUGUCACGCAUCGUUGCC